GACGAACGCUGGCGGCGUGCUUAACACAUGCAAGUCGAACGAAGAGCGAUGGAAGCUUGCUUCUAUCAAUCUUAGUGGCGAACGGGUGAGUAACACGUAAUCAACCUGCCCUUCAGAGGGGGACAACAGUUGGAAACGACUGCUAAUACCGCAUACGAUCUAAUCUCGGCAUCGAGGAUAGAUGAAAGGUGGCCUCUACAUGUAAGCUAUCACUGAAGGAGGGGAUUGCGUCUGAUUAGCUAGUUGGAGGGGUAACGGCCCACCAAGGCGAUGAUCAGUAGCCGGUCUGAGAGGAUGAACGGCCACAUUGGGACUGAGACACGGCCCAGACUCCUACGGGAGGCAGCAGUGGGGAAUCUUCCGCAAUAGACGAAAGUCUGACGGAGCAACGCCGCGUGAGUGAUGACGGCCUUCGGGUUGUAAAGCUCUGUUAAUCGGGACGAAAGGCCUUCUUGCGAAUAGUGAGAAGGAUUGACGGUACCGGAAGAGAAAGCCACGGCUAACUACGUG
RNAcentral lists this ribosomal RNA (510 nucleotides) under uncultured bacterium. RNAcentral's name for it is "partial 16S ribosomal RNA". It matches the Rfam family "Bacterial small subunit ribosomal RNA", at positions 28 to 507 of the family's 1533-position model. The record is from RNAcentral.